This 350-nucleotide ribosomal RNA is filed under the name uncultured bacterium. RNAcentral's name for it is "bacterial SSU rRNA". It matches the Rfam family "Bacterial small subunit ribosomal RNA", at positions 28 to 377 of the family's 1533-position model. The record is from RNAcentral.
GACGAACGCUGGCGGCGUGCUUAACACAUGCAAGUCGAGCGGUAAGGCCCUUCGGGUACGACGAGCGGCGAACGGGUGAGUAACACGUGGGUGACCUGCCUCUAGCUCUGGGAUAAGCCUGGGAAACUGGGUCUAAUACCGGAUAUGACUCCACGGCGCAUGUUGUGGGGUGGAAAGCCUUGUGUGGCUAGAGAUGGGCCCGCGGCCUAUCAGCUUGUUGGUGGGGUGAUGGCCUACCAAGGCGACGACGGGUAGCCGGCCUGAGAGGGCGGACCGGCCGACACCUGGGACUGAGACACGGCCCAGACUCCUACGGGAGGGCAGCAGUGGGGAAUCUUGCGCAAUGGGCG